AAAUAAGAAGCAAAAGAAAUUUGUGAUUAGUUUCGACCUAAUUUUAGAUACUAAAGUAUCCUUAUUUU
This 68-nucleotide transfer RNA is filed under the name Synendotendipes impar. RNAcentral describes it as "tRNA-Arg". The record is from RNAcentral. Lineage: Eukaryota; Metazoa; Arthropoda; Insecta; Diptera; Chironomidae.